Triticum aestivum (bread wheat) is the source of this 2341-nucleotide long non-coding RNA. RefSeq lists it as uncharacterized. NCBI's taxonomy places the organism in Eukaryota, Viridiplantae, Streptophyta, Magnoliopsida, Poales, Poaceae. The transcript is spliced from 8 exons. The record is from RefSeq and is a predicted model, not a curated record.
GCGCUUCCCCUGUGGCUGGCUCUUGGGGGUAAAGGCGAGGACCCUAGCCGCCACAGCUUUCCUGUACGCACGCGCGAUGCGUCUCGCCGCCGCCGCCGCCGUCCUCCGCCCCGUGCUCUGCCUCCUCCCCUUUAGUCGCCCACCCGCCACGCCGCCUUCUCCUCUACCGUUCCUCUCCCUUCGCCGUGCUCGGGAGGAGAGCGACAGGCGGACUGGUGCAUCCCCAACGACGGGAGAAGCACAGGAACCGCCGCCUCCGGCGAGGCGCUCCUGCGCGACCAGUUCAAGACGAUCCUGCAGAAGGUCGACGAGAAGGGCGCGCCGCCACCGUCAGCAGGCCGGUCAGCAUCCACGCGCUACUCGGCGUCGUGAGGUCGCCGGCACAGCUCCUCGCGCCCACGCCGUUCAAACAUGCCACGACCUGCCCUUCUCCGGUGCACUUGGCAGCCGCAGAUGCUCCACCUCCUCCGCCUCAGCCCUCAACUCGUCGGGUGGCCUGAGGGGAGCGAUGCCUAGGCCGUUCUCUUCCUCACCACGCGGCGCCGGGAGGAUCCACAAGAGGGGGAGCGGCAACAAAUCGCGACGGAGGAGCAUGGGCUGCAAAUUCGUAUGAAGAUGGCGAACCGUUUGUGUUGCCAGGAGAUGGAUGCCGUCUCACCCUCCAUGGCGCUCAAUAGGAGGAGCAGGAGGUGUCAUCGGACAGAUUUGUGAGUUUGGUGCUAGACAUGGGACGUGCUUGGUCGUGUCCUUUCUUCGACUAGGCACCUUGGCGACCACUUGAGCAGCAGUGCAGCACCGUGCUCCAGUGAUCAGACUCCCCUUACAUGAUUCAUAUUUUUCUAUCAGCUUUUACUAUAUAUGUUCUUCAGUGGAUCAGCUGCAUCAGACUGUAGGCACUGCUGAGCGCAAAGCUGUACAUACCUGUGCAUAAAUGUUUUUGUCCGUGCAACCACGAAACAAAAAAGUCAAUCUUGAUUGUUUUUAAUUAGUAUUAUAUAUGUAUCUAAAUUUUGUAAUAUUUUCGUCACUUUUCGCUGGUUGGUGAUACACUUUGUUCAUGUUACCGGUGGAAAUAGGAAUGGUUUUCUUACUGUAUUGACAGAGCAAAGAAUUUUGCCUGUGAAUCUCAUAUUGUUGGAAGGGUCCUACAAGUGAUGAAUUGUCUAUUUGCCAGUUGCCACAUUGAUGCCCCAGGUAUGUCCCAAGUGAACUGGGUUAUUGCGACGAUUUGGUCGAUUCAGUCUUCUUUUUAUCUUGAAUGGCUUUCACCUUUGGGAAAUUCAAGUGAUGGAAGUGUUUCAGUGAUAUUGAAGCUCUUUUAGAUACUACUACGAUACUAUGGCAGCCAAGGUCUUACUAACUCCCCACUGGAUUUCAUCCACGGAUGAAAAUAGAUGGUCACAAUAGAAGGCAGGGCACAUCUGAGAGCCGAAACUCCCCACAGUAGUUCUGCUGCUUGCAUUGUGCUUGGGUUCAAAUAUUUCACCUGGAAGUUCCGUGCAGCUAUAGAAUUAUUUAGAGUGUUCUUCGGCUGAAAUUAGGUUGCUCCUGCCAUGUCUAUCAGUGAAAUGCCUCCUUCCAUGAUAAAGCAGCCUACUCUUAGCAUUAUGCAGAACAAUUAUUAUGCGUCCAUCAAUGAUAACAGUGAUACCUGAUUGAAGAUUAGGUGGUCUACAAUCCUCCAGCUCUCCAAAACUAUAUCUCAAGCCCAUCAACUCCGAAAAUUAAAGGUCGCCACCAUGCCGUCUCUCUCUCUGGCCGCCCUUCACAUCGUCUUGGUUUGCUGGUUGCCACUAUGUCUCCUGCCGUUUCGCCCGCCGCCAUCGCUGGAAGGGUUGUGUAGGCCGUCGCCUAUGCCACUACUAUGCAGUGACCAGUGAGGGCCAUGGCAUCGAGACAGACCAAAAGGGAAACACCACCGGCCACAGCGCCGGUAGAGGCCUCCCUGUCUGCGCCGGUGACUGGAUAACAUCGCCGCCGCCACUGUCGUUGUCUUUGUUGCUUCUCAGCAGGCAUUUGAUUAACUCAAAGGCAACAGGAAGGCACGACGGUGAUCAAGGUUAUGUACGCCGAGUAGUGUCUUUUGUCUACCAUACCGUAUGAAAAUAGAUCAAGAUGAGCCAACUUAGUCACGUACUAUGUUUCUAUAAGGGGAACAUAUCUGGUCUAUAUCCGAAUCUAUGAACUAUUAUAUGGAUGAUGUCGAGUUAUGUCUAUAUAGUCAUAUGCUUAUAUAAGCUCAAUGUAUCCUUUGUACUGUUCUUCUUUGACUUGGCACUUCUGUUCAUUUUCAGAUAAAUUUUCAUGUGACUACCAAUGUCAUAAACCAGAAUUCUCUUUC